GGGCCGGCCGGCGGGCGCUCUGUCCACGGGACGCCCGGGACACCGCUUCCUUCUGGCCUCGGGCAGGCUGACGGCCACCUGUACAUCUGCGUGGGCUCACCCGCAGUCCGGGGAGUUGGUUAUGUUUCGUGGAAGCGCAGUGCUUUGCAACCAUGUGCUGCAACGCUUUCUAUGAACUUUCAGCUUUCCUGUCUCAGCGUUCCCAAGCGUGAAAAUCAAGGAAAUCGCUUACUUUUAAAUCUUUUCACAGUCGCAGAUACGAAGAUGGUUAUCCACUGUAAGUGUAAAACAGGACCAGCCGUGGCACUGUGUGGUUUUGCUGUUCUGGACCCCUCCCUCUCUCCGAGUGUCCCUGCCGUGGGAUGCCGUCAUCCUUGCCAGCCAUGUCCCCGUGCCCUCCUUGGAGUGUUUGCCAACAUCGAUACCCGACUCAACGUUUGAACCGACUAGGGCACUUUAGACUUCCAGCAAAACUUACUAGAAACUCUUGGUCUACCAGAGGCAGAUCCUUCAGGAAAGACAGAGCAGUGAGAACUUCAGAGUCUUCCAAGCUGUAACUCCUGACAAUUACCAUCCUGCAUAAAGACUCUGUCAUCACAACCUGUAUCUGCUAUGUUCUUCCAAAACUUUUAUCAGUGAUCUAAAGAUAUCUGAAUCAUUUUCUUAAAACAAAUGAUGUAGUGCAACAUAACUUACACUUAAGCAGUAAGAGCAGCUCAUAUAACUCUGUGCUGAUGGUGACUUCUGAGUACUCUGGAUGCAAGCUGUAAGUCUUGACUGAAAACAUUUUGUGGGCACAAUAUUAAUGCUAAAAGGAAUGCCCAUCAGGACAAAGACAGUUUAAGCAAAGCACAUUUUAAAUUCACAAGGGAGACAGAUGUUGGAGCCAUUUGAGAAUCCAAGUCAAAAGCUGCCAGCAGUGGAGGAACUGCAUGAGAAUCCUUCAGCACUAAGGUGAGCACUAGUUUGCUAUCAGACUCAACGCCAGAUUUUCCUCAUCAGACCUUUGCCAAUAUGUGCAUUUUGUACAUGAUCUUGGUCUGUGUAUUGCAAAUCUGCAUUUCAGCUUCACAGAUGGUAGGUUUGGUCUUCUGGAAAUAUUACAACUUGUCUUGGAAAUUUUAGAUCUGGGCUUCCUUUCAAGACAAUCUCAAGUGUAUGUUCCAUUCAGAAAUGCAUCUAUUUCAUUAACUAGCUAAGCCUACAAUAUUAAAACUCAACUCCACUCUUCCUUCUCUGGCAGAAUGUGGCACUGUUGACAUUCUAUCAAAUCCAAAUGUCCUAGGAUUGUAAAAUGCAAACCAUAAGAAUAGUGCCUUGUAAUAAAUCUUUGUAGAGGUGAGGAAUUUGUACUAAAUUUCACCUAAAAUAAAAUGUACAUGUGCUAAAAUGAAACUACAUUUUAUGGGGAGAUAAUAUGUUUGCAACUACUUGUGAAGUUUCUAGUAGCAAUGCAAUCUUUAAUUCAUUUUUAUAAAACUGACACCCUCAUUCUUGGUGAUUCAGUAGAUUGGAAACGUUUUUCUUAAAAAAAGGUAUUUCAAUAAAUCUUAAGAUACAUUUUAAUCCUUUGAAGGUAAAUUGAAUAAUUCUUCCAUGAAAAUGUAUUACCUUGACAUGGAAUGGAAUGAGGAAAAGACAAUUCUAGUUGAAACUUUGUGUUAGGAUAUUGGACCUGUCUGAAAGUAUAUAAUUAAGUUAUUUUUCUUGCUCUUGCUGUUUUAUUGAGAAAAAGAGUUUCAAGCUAAUACUUCCAUACAGUUUGGGUUUCACAUUUGAUAAUUCAGUCAUUGCUAAGAGUUCUUCCUAAUAGACAGCACCAUGCUCACACUUUAACCUGCUGCCCAAGGUUAAGGGGGUUGGACCUUUAAAGGUCGCCUCCAACCCAAACUAUUCUAUGGUUUUGUGAUUCUAAGACUAAGACUAAUCUGUCACAGACUAGCCUAGACUGCAAAUGUCCAGUAAAUAUAAAGAAUACAGACAUCACAGUAAUUUUAAAGGAAAAUUGCACAUGCUGGAAAGGAACUAAAUAAUGAAACAUAUGAAGUACAUCAAAUUUGUUUAGGGAACAAAAUAACAUUUCCUGGUGGCAAAGGAGGAAAAACAUUUAGGAGAAAUGUCACUUGCAUUGUUCAUUGUAAUAAAAAAAACCCAAAUAAUCCUUCAAUAUUUUUUAAGAUCUUCUAUCACAUUUCAGGUAUCACUUAUAACUGAAAAUUACAAUAAUUUAUGAUGACAUUAUAUAUCCAUAUAUAUCCAUAUUUUAAUUUUUUCCC
This is a long non-coding RNA of Vidua macroura (Pin-tailed whydah), 2276 nucleotides long. RefSeq lists it as uncharacterized. The record is from RefSeq and is a predicted model, not a curated record. The transcript has 3 exons. NCBI's taxonomy places the organism in Eukaryota, Metazoa, Chordata, Aves, Passeriformes, Viduidae.